Raphanus sativus (radish) is the source of this 814-nucleotide long non-coding RNA. RefSeq lists it as uncharacterized. NCBI's taxonomy places the organism in Eukaryota, Viridiplantae, Streptophyta, Magnoliopsida, Brassicales, Brassicaceae. The transcript has 3 exons. The record is from RefSeq and is a predicted model, not a curated record.
AGGUGAAAAUUGAACCAACUCGUUUACCAAAUCAUACCAAACCCCUCUUUUACCAAUCUCCAAACCCUUUCAAAAUAUCUAUUUUCAAAUUUUAAAAUACUAAAUCUCUCUCAAACCAUCUCUCUUGUGACAAUUUCUAAGAACCCUAGAUUCUCACAAACACUCUGACUUUCUCCGUCUUCCCAAACACACCAUCUUUAUCAUUCUGGUUCUCAGAAAUGCGAGGAAACAACCUAAUAGAUCUUGGUUUUUCGUCAUAAGUUGUACCAGCUUUGGAAAGAGAGAUAUGGUCCUCAUUUAUGACAACCAGUGAUUUCUGGCUUGGGAGAAGAUAACAAACCCUUCACAUGCACCAUGGACUCCAUUGAAGCUAAGUAAGCACAUAUCAUCCUUGUCAAAUCGACAGAAGACAAACCAGACGAUUGCCAGCGGCGUGUGGACUGAGGAGCAGCUUCCCGGACCGAGGUGGUAAGUGUACAACUCAACGAUUGCACCUCGAGUUGUUCUUCCUGAGUAAACUCAGAAGUUCUAGUGACAAUUAUCUCAAGCUUUCUUUCUCUCUCUCUCUCUAUCUAUUGGAGGAAGAUGAUAGAUUUGACUACACUUGUUUUGUGGAUGUGGAUACAACUUUAUAGAUAAAUUUUCAUAUACAAAUCCUUGUCCACAACUUUUGUUUUUCUAUCCAUGUAUUCUCCAUCUUUUGUAUUAAUGUCCACAAUCUUCGUUUUCCAUAAACUUUCUUUUUUUCCUCCAUAAACUUUGUUUUAUUUUUCCUGAACUUGUACGUGGAUGUUAUUGGUUUGAACUUAUCAAC